This 271-nucleotide non-coding RNA is filed under the name Bacillus sp. (in: firmicutes). RNAcentral's name for it is "Bacillus sp. T-box sequence". It matches the Rfam family "T-box leader". From Rfam's summary of the family: Uncharged tRNA acts as the effector for transcription antitermination of genes in the T-box leader family. T-boxes are found upstream of many aminoacyl-tRNA synthetase genes and some amino acid biosynthetic genes usually in Gram-positive bacteria. The record is from RNAcentral. Lineage: Bacteria; Bacillati; Bacillota; Bacilli; Caryophanales; Bacillaceae.
GUACCAACGAUGAACGGGAAGAGUACGUGACCAAGCGCUGCCCAGAGAGCCGGGGAGAGGUGAAAGCCCGGCCAGCUGCCGUCGCCGAAAAUCACCCGGGAGUUCACAACUGAAAGCCUGCUACCGACGUCACGUCCGGCGGGCGAGUAAGGGAGCGCGUCAUUCCCGUUACGAAUGAAACGAGUGGAGCGGAGCAGCGACUGCCGGCUUGCGGCAGGAUGCGUUCCGUUCAAUCAGGGUGGUACCACGGGAGCCUUCUCUCGUCCCUUUU